UCUAGCCAUGGGCAGGUUGAAGGUUGGGUAACACUAACUGGAGGACCGAACCGACUAAUGUUGAAAAAUUAGCGGAUGACCUGUGGCUGGGGGUGAAAGGCCAAUCAAACCGGGAGAUAGCUGGUUCUCCCCGAAAGCUAUUUAGGUAGCGCCUCGUGAAUUCAUCUCCGGGGGUAGAGCACUGUUUCGGCUAGGGGGCCAUCCCGGCUUACCAACCCGAUGCAAACUGCGAAUACCGGAGAAUGUUAUCACGGGAGACACACGGCGGGUGCUAACGUCCGUCGUGAAGAGGGAAACAACCCAGACCGCCAGCUAAGGUCCCAAAGUCAUGGUUAAGUGGGAAACGAUGUGGGAAGGCCCAGACAGCCAGGAUGUUGGCUUAGAAGCAGCCAUCAUUUAAAGAAAGCGUAAUAGCUCACUGGUCGAGUCGGCCUGCGCGGAAGAUGUAACGGGGCUAAACCAUG
RNAcentral lists this ribosomal RNA (464 nucleotides) under Salmonella enterica. Its description in RNAcentral is "partial 23S ribosomal RNA". It matches the Rfam family "Bacterial large subunit ribosomal RNA", at positions 729 to 1191 of the family's 2925-position model. RNAcentral also lists the same sequence under 1 other name. The record is from RNAcentral. Lineage: Bacteria; Pseudomonadati; Pseudomonadota; Gammaproteobacteria; Enterobacterales; Enterobacteriaceae.